Molecule: ribosomal RNA, 764 nt
Filed under: uncultured Aestuariibacter sp.
Lineage: Bacteria; Pseudomonadati; Pseudomonadota; Gammaproteobacteria; Alteromonadales; Alteromonadaceae
Description: bacterial SSU rRNA
Rfam family: Bacterial small subunit ribosomal RNA
Source: RNAcentral
AAGACUGACGCUCAUGUGCGAAAGUGUGGGUAGCGAACUGGAAAAUAACCCUGGUAGUCCACACCGUAAACGCUGUCUACUAGCUGUGUGUGAAUUUAAUUUGUGCGUAGCGAAGCAAACGCGCUAAGUAGACCGCCUGGGGAGUACGGCCGCAAGGUUAAAACUCAAAUGAAUUGACGGGGGCCCGCACAAGCGGUGGAGCAUGUGGUUUAAUUCGAUGCAACGCGAAGAACCUUACCUACUCUUGACAUCCAGAGAACUUUGCAGAGAUGCGAAGGUGCCUUCGGGAAUUCUGAGACAGGUGCUGCAUGGCUGUCGUCAGCUCGUGUCGUGAGAUGGUGGGUUAAGUCCCGCAACGAGCGCAACCCUUGUCCUUAGUUGCCAGCAUUAAGUUGGGCACUUUAAGGAGACUGCCGGUGACAAACCGGAGGAAGGGGGGGACGACGUCAAGUCAUCAUGGCCCUUACGAGUAGGGCUACACACGUGCUACAAUGGUAAGUACAGAGGGAAGCGAAGCAGCGAUGUGGAGCGGACCCCUUAAAGCUUAUCGUAAUCCGGAUUGGAGUCUGCAACUCGACUCCAUGAAGUCGGAAUCGCUAGUAAUCGCAGGUCAGCAUACUGCGGUGAAUACGUUCCCGGGCCUUGUACACACCGCCCGUCACACCAUGGGAGUGGGAUGCAAAAGAAGUAGCUAGUUUAACCUUCGGGAGAACGGUUACCACUUUGUGUUUCACGACUGGGGGUGAAGUCGUAACAAGGUAACC